CGUGUAGGUGGAACUUUAAGUCGGUGGUGAAAGCCUGCAGCUUAACUGCAGAACUGCCCUCGAUACUGAAGUUCUUGAGUGCGGCAGAGGGAGAUGGAAUUCAUGGUGUAGCGGUGAAAUGUGUAGAUAUCAUGAAGAACACCGGUAGCGAAGGCGGUCUCCUGGUCCGUAACUGACACUGAGGCGCGAAAGCGUGGGGAGCAAACAGGAUUAGAUACCCUGGUAGUCCACGCCUUAAACGAUGGGUACUCGGUGCUGGGCCGCAAGGUUCAGUGCCAAAGCUAACGCAUUAAGUACCCCACCUGGGGAGUACGAUCGCAAGGUUGAA
This 328-nucleotide ribosomal RNA is filed under the name uncultured bacterium. Its description in RNAcentral is "bacterial SSU rRNA". It matches the Rfam family "Bacterial small subunit ribosomal RNA", at positions 568 to 898 of the family's 1533-position model. The record is from RNAcentral.